This is a long non-coding RNA of Acinonyx jubatus (cheetah), 539 nucleotides long. RefSeq lists it as uncharacterized. The record is from RefSeq and is a predicted model, not a curated record. Lineage: Eukaryota; Metazoa; Chordata; Mammalia; Carnivora; Felidae. The transcript is spliced from 3 exons.
UGCGUACUUGGUGUCUGAGACUUUCUGAGGCCUGUCUAGGAAAUUCUCCUCCAAGUGAAGCCUGGUGAAGGGUUUUUACAGAAUUGCUCGGCUGCUGGCUUCGCAGAGAUCCUUUCAUUUUUAGCCGGUAUUUUUAAACAUGGAGAGAACAAGCGAUGCAUAACAAUCUGUAAGUGUGAAGGGGUGCCUGGAACUGUCUGAGGGCUGUGUAUGGAAGAUGAAGUGGCUAUCCUGGAAGACAAAGCAGAGACGUAGAGUCAAUCAGCAUAUGCAUGUAUGUGUGUACUGUUAUUAUGUUACUUAACAAUCACAUGUAUUAUGUGUCAUGGGCUGUUCUAUGUGCUUUAUAAAUAUUGACUUAUUUAAUCAUCAUAUCAAUUUUAUGAAGUAGGUACUAUUAUUAUCCCCAUUUAGUGGCAGAGAAAACCAAUACACAGAAAGGCUAGAUAACUUGCCUGAGGUCACACAGCUCUUAAGUGGAGAUCUGAAGCUGGGCUUAGUCACCAGUCUUAUGCUGUCUCUCAUUGUACAGUGGCACC